CAGUAGCCACGGUAAUACGUAGGGUGCGAGCGUUAAUCGGAAUUACUGGGCGUAAAGCGUGCGCAGGCGGUUGUGUAAGACAGGUGUGAAAUCCCCGGGCUUAACCUGGGAACUGCGCUUGUGACUGCACAGCUAGAGUAUGGCAGAGGGGGGUGGAAUUCCACGUGUAGCAGUGAAAUGCGUAGAGAUGUGGAGGAACACCGAUGGCGAAGGCAGCCCCCUGGGCCAAUACUGACGCUCAUGCACGAAAGCGUGGGGAGCAAACAGGAUUAGAUACCCCCGUAGUCCCUGUCUCUUAUAC
RNAcentral lists this ribosomal RNA (301 nucleotides) under uncultured bacterium. RNAcentral's name for it is "partial 16S ribosomal RNA". It matches the Rfam family "Bacterial small subunit ribosomal RNA", at positions 509 to 807 of the family's 1533-position model. The record is from RNAcentral.